AACGCACAUUGCGCCCGCUGGUAUUCCGGCGGGCAUGCCUGUUCGAGCGUCAUUAUCCCCCCUCAAACCCCAGUGUUUGGAGUUGGACCAGGUCGGCUGACGAAGCCAACCGGUCUCAAAGGCAAUGACGGCGUCUGGACGGACCCUCGAUGCAACGAGCUUUGUAAAAGAGGCACGCGUCGAGUGUGUAAAGGUCCGCCCGGCCGGUCUCCUUCAGUAUCUUUUGUAAGGUUGACCUCGGAUCAGGUAGGAAUACCCGCUGAACUUAA
RNAcentral lists this unclassified non-coding RNA (269 nucleotides) under uncultured fungus. RNAcentral's name for it is "partial contains 5.8S ribosomal RNA, internal transcribed spacer 2, and large subunit ribosomal RNA". The stretch from base 1 to 52 matches the Rfam family "5.8S ribosomal RNA", at positions 103 to 154 of the family's 154-position model. Lineage: Eukaryota; Fungi. The record is from RNAcentral.